RNAcentral lists this transfer RNA (85 nucleotides) under Felis catus (domestic cat). It matches the Rfam family "tRNA". From Rfam's summary of the family: Transfer RNA (tRNA) molecules are approximately 80 nucleotides in length. Their secondary structure includes four short double-helical elements and three loops (D, anti-codon, and T loops). Lineage: Eukaryota; Metazoa; Chordata; Mammalia; Carnivora; Felidae. The record is from Rfam by way of RNAcentral.
GCCUGGGUGGCUCAGUUGGUUGAGCGUCUGACUUCAGCUCAGGUCCUGAUCUCACUGUUCGUGAGUUCGAGCCCCUCUUUGGGCU